GUGAGGAAUGAGCCACCACCCAUAGUUGAUGUGAUUAUUGAUGAAACCAGCAUUGAAAACAGUGUGGAUUUCACCUCUUCAACAUUGACACCUGACACAUUCAGGCCAGAUCGUCAGCAACUAUUUAGAGAAACAACUGCAAUUGCUGUCAAUACCUAUUGCACCUCAGUAUCCUGCAAGUUGAUACUUCCAUCAGGAGAGAUCCAAAUAGUCACCCAACUUGUUAUCUUUUCAGCAAAUGUUGCCAUUCCGACUUUCCUCAUCAAGAAAAAAGAUGGAGAAAAUGUGAUGUUUGUUGUGUAUGUUCAAGUUGAUGAAGCUUAUCUCUCAAAAGAUAAUUUGGAGCACGCAAUAAUGGUAACUAAUC
This is a long non-coding RNA of Halichondria panicea, 367 nucleotides long. RefSeq lists it as uncharacterized. Lineage: Eukaryota; Metazoa; Porifera; Demospongiae; Suberitida; Halichondriidae. The transcript has 3 exons. The record is from RefSeq and is a predicted model, not a curated record.